This is a long non-coding RNA of Felis catus (domestic cat), 1797 nucleotides long. RefSeq lists it as uncharacterized. NCBI's taxonomy places the organism in Eukaryota, Metazoa, Chordata, Mammalia, Carnivora, Felidae. The record is from RefSeq and is a predicted model, not a curated record. The transcript is spliced from 3 exons.
AAUACGCGCCCUGUUUCCGAGGGUUUAAUUCACUGGGUUGUCUCUGAGAAUCAGAGUCAGAGCUAAGUUUCACACUCAGGAGCGGUUUUCGCUGUCGAGUACUAUUGCCCUCCCAGCCCAGAGAAGUCCGUCUGCAAACUGGGUAAACCCUUUCUCCAAGCAGCCUUGACCUCACUCCUGCAACUCAUCACUUUUAUUUAUGGCCCCGUGAGCAGCGGCUGUGUCGCUCAGCCCGGCCCCAAGAACAGUCACCGCGAACAAUGAGCCAGGGAAGGGACCCACCCAGCGAACGCCUGCUCGCUGGCCGCGCGCAAGCCCGCUAGCGCGGGACGCUCCGGCUUCGGGGAUCCCGCCGCCCCCGUCCUUUCCCCUCCAGAACCCAAGAAAAACGAGAAGAGAAAGACGCCGAGGCGUGGAGGAGAAAUGGAGAGAAAAGGCAAGACUUACUUGGCGGCCGAAGGCUCAGCCAGACUCCCGCUUCGGACUCGGCAGGUGUCUGGCACCGCGGGCCCAGGCGGAAGGCGCUGGCGCAGCUCCGAGCCGGGCUCCACUUGAGCGAGGACGGAAACUCCCCUCGCCACCCGGCCCCGCGCGGCGCUCCCCGCUGUCACGGCACCGAGCGACGCAGGCACGCUCCCCACUGCCGCCUCUGUCCUGACAAAUUUAAAGACUUCUCUCUAAGGGCUCCCCACAGCACUGUUCAUAUUGCAAUGAUCAUUCUUUCUACCCACACCAUAUGUGGUAUUCUCUCUUCCUGUGACUGCCUCCACGACUGGUCGGUAAGUUUCUCCAGGCAGAAGUUUGUCACACUCUAACCUUAUCAGCAGCAUCUAAUGUAAUCCCCAGUACGUACUAUAUGCUCAAAAAACUGUUCAAGGAAUGAAUGCCCUUUAAAUAUGAUGCCAGCGCUGCUUGUCUGCAUCUCAACUAAUAGGUCAUGGAGAAAACUAAUACCUUUUUACAUUUGGCUAGGUGAUUUCUCAUACAUUCUUUAAUGUAAUCCUUCAAACAAGUCUUGGUAGGUUUUACCCACUUUUUUAACUUGGUGAAUGUCAUUAAGUUCAAAACUCCUAAACUCAGAGCUGGGCUCCAAGUUCCUCCAGACUAGCACAAGCUGAAUGGGGUUGGCUUUCUUAUCACACUACCAGCCAGCCCUGACUGCCCAAUGCUACAUGAUGAAGUUAUCUACCAUGGAAGAGCCUGUCCAAACAGCUCUUUUUUCCAAAGUAGGAUUUUUCCCUUCCUUUGUCCUCUUUUGUAACUCUUGAGCCUCUUAAUUCAGAGUUCUAAAAACAAACAAACAAAACAACAGCAACAAUGAAAACAUCUCUGAACUCAGACCUUUUAUAAGCACUUAUUGUCUUAACUCUUACACUUAAAAAAAAAGUUACUAUUUUUCCCCAUGUAUUUUGACUCCGUUAUCCUGUAUCUUACACGGGGAUUUAUUUCUCUGGCUCCUCCAUUGAAAUAAAUAGCAGCUAACCUUAAGUUAGAGACAUCAUCUAACAGCCAGCCAUUACUCUGAGCACUUUACACAUAUAUUAGCUCAUUUAAUCCUCAACAACCUUAUCGAGACUAUUUUAUACAUGGCAAACAGGCACAGAGGUGGGGUCACAUGGCCAGUAAUUAGUGGAACAAGGGUUGGAUUCCUGAGAGUCUGUUCAGUGGCUUCUCUUUCUCUGUCUUCUGUGAUCCCUUAUACCUAAGAGAUGUUAGUAAAUACUUUUUUUUUAAAUACAUGAGAGGGACUUUAUUUUUUUUUAAUGUUUAUUUAUUUUGAAAGCGAGAGAGCAAGCA